Molecule: long non-coding RNA, 6526 nt
Filed under: Haliotis rubra (blacklip abalone)
Lineage: Eukaryota; Metazoa; Mollusca; Gastropoda; Lepetellida; Haliotidae
Description: uncharacterized LOC124286993, transcript variant X1
Source: RNAcentral
UGUCAAGGGUCAUGCCAACAGGUCAAGGUGAUGACUGCAUGUUAUAGGUCACCUGCAUAUUGUGGGUCAUUCCUACAUGUCAAGGGUCACACCCACAUGUCAAGGGUCAUGCCAACAGGUCAAGGUGAUGACCGCAUGUUAUAGGUCACCUGCAUAUGGUGGGUCAUUCCUACAUGCAGUGGGUCACAUUCACAUGUCAAGGGUCAUGCCAACAGGUCAAGGUGAUGACCGCAUGUUAUAGGUCACCUGCAUAUUGUGGGUCAUUCCUACAUGUCAAGGGUCAUGCCAACAGGUCAAGGUGAUGACCGCAUGUUAUAGGUCACCUGCAUAGUGUGGGUGAUUCCUACAUGUCAAGUGUCACGCCACAUGUCAAGGGUCAUGCCAACAGGUCAAGGUGAUGACCGCAUGUUAUAGGUCACCUACAUAGUGUGGGUCAUUCCUACAUGUCAAGGGUCACACCCACAUGUCAAGGGUCAUGCCAACAGGUCAUGGUGAUGACCGCAUGUUAUAGGUCACCUGCAUAUUGUGGGUCAUUCCUACAUGCUGUGGGUCACAUUCACAUGUCAAGGGUCAUGCCAACAGGUCAAGGUGAUGACCGCAUGUUAUAGGUCACCUGCAUAUUGUGGGUCAUUCCUACAUGUCAAGGGUCAUGCUAACAGGUCAAGGUGAUGACUGCAUGUUAUAGGUCACCUGCAUAGUGUGGGUGAUUCCUACAUGUCAAGGGUCACAUCAACAUGUCAAGGGUCAUGCCAACAGGUCGAGGUGAUGACCGCAUGUUAUAGGUCACCUGCAUAGUGUGGGUCAUUCCUACAUGUCAAGGGUCACGUCCACAUGUCAAGGGUCAUGCCAACAGGUCAAGGUGAUGACUGCAUGUUAUAGGUCACCUGCAUAGUGUGGGUGAUUCCUACAUGUCAAGGGUCACAUCAACAUGUCAAGGGUCAUGCCAACAGGUCGAGGUGAUGACCGCAUGUUAUAGGUCACCUGCAUAGUGUGGGUCAUUCCUACAUGUCAAGGGUCACGUCCACAUGUCAAGGGUCAUGCCAACAGGUCAAGGUGAUGACCACAUGUUAUAGGUCACCUGCAUAUUGUGGGUGAUUCCUACAUGUCAAGGGUCACGCCACAUGUCAAGGGUCAUGCCAACAGGUCAAGGUGAUGACCGCAUGUUAUAGGUCACCUGCAUAUUGUGGGUGAUUCCUACAUGUCAAGGGUCAUGCCAACAGGUCAAGGUGAUGACUGCAUGUUAUAGAUCACCUGCAUAGUGUGGGUGAUUCCUACAUGUCAAGGGUCACAUCAACAUGUCAAGGGUCAUGCAUACAGGUCAAGGUGAUGACCGCAUGUUAUAGGUCACCUGCAUAGUGUGGGUCAUUCCUACAUGUCAAGGGUCACGCCACAUGUCAAGGGUCAUGCCAACAGGUCAAGGUGAUGACCGCAUGUUAUAGGUCACCUGCAUAGUGUGGGUCAUUCCUACAUGUCAUGGGUCACGUCCACAUGUCAAGGGUCAUGCCAACAGGUCAAGGUGAUGACCGCAUGUUAUAGGUCACCUGCAUAUUGUGGGUCAUUCCUACAUGUCAUGGGUCACGUCCACAUGUCAAGGGUCAUGCCAACAGGUCAAGGUGAUGACCGCAUGUUAUAGGUCACCUACAUAGUGUGGGUCAUUCCUACAUGUCAAGGGUCACGUCCACAUGUCAAGGGUCAUGCCAACAGGUCAAGGUGAUGACCGCAUGUUAUAGGUCACCUGCAUAUUGUGGGUCAUUCUUACAUGUCAUGGGUCACGUCACAUGUCAAGGGUCAUGCCAACAGGUCAAGGUGAUGACCGCAUGUUAUAGGUCACCUACAUAAUGUGGGUCAUUCCUACAUGUCAAGGGUCACGCCCAUGCCUGCAUUUGCCAUUCAAUGGCUGCUUCAUCUGGUCAUUUACGUGGAUGUCUGUACACAUUGUAACUAGUUGUGAAGUUCACAGUAUACCAUUUCUGUUUCAAAAAUAAUAUUUCCAUGGGUAAUAAGGUAAACACUAGUUUUAUUUUUCUUCAUAUUUUUCAGUGCGGCAAAAAUCAACCAGUUAAUUUUCUGUUUUAGUUAUUCAUUCAUUUUCCGGAGAGAAUCUCAUUGCACAGUUUUAGUCUACUCCAGAAAAAUGGAAGUUGUAACAGAUGUCUGUCUGAUCCCUAGUUGCCAUGGUUACAUGUUGAAAACACUUGACAAGAAGGCAAUAAUUACUGUAUCUCAUCACCCAUAUACACGAUACUCUUGUUAAAAUUUAUACACACCUGCUGUAACAGAUCAGUAAAGUAUUCUAAGAAAUUAAUGUAUGCUAAUAUUCUUGACAUACAAUGUUCGCAGUAAGUGUUUGUUAGUAGUGCGGCCAUUACGGUUGUGACCUGAGAAAACUUAUCUCUAAUUUUUUGUCUUAACAAACUGGUCGAAUAUGCCUCAAUUUUGAGGGGGCUAAGGUGACCCAGGUUCCCUAAAUUUUAGUGCAUCCCUUAGCCAUGCCAUGUGAUUGUAGGUUCAAAUCUCAAAUGUUUAGGUUUGGCAGCAACAAACCCGUGUACUAGGGUUUCACCAAUCGUUAAAUGACAAAUACAAAGUAAUGCAUUAUUUCAGGAUUUUCUCCCAAUUAAGAUGACGCGUUAAAACUGAAAUAUUGUUUAAGGCAACGUGUAACUAAACUCACAUAAUUUCUACAUUGUGACUCCUUGAAAUGUAGCCAUACUUUUGUUUAUCAGGAAAAAUAUGUUGUGUCAGUUUAUGUUGUUAAAGGCAGCAGUGAUGUCUCUAGACCAGGAGACGACGUGCACAACGUGACCUUAGCACGUGAUCACAUUUUGCACGUGGUUCCAGGGUUGUCACGUUAGUACUAGGGGUGAAACGAUACAUCAGGGUCACGGUAUCUUACCUAUCGCGAUAUGCAUGUUUACAGCAAAUAGUAUUGAAACUUCUUGAAAAUACAUACUUCUGAAGAAAAGUUAGCUGUUGACUGUUGUAGGGGCAAGUUUUAGUAUUGAGCUUUAAAAGCUAAUAAUGACACUUUGAACGGCAUUUAGAAGUGAUACACUGACUGACUGAGUUUGGUUUUACGCCGCUUUUAGCAAUAUUCCAGCAACAUCAUAGCGGGGGACACCAGAAAUGGGCUUCAAACAUUGUGCCCAUGUGGGGAUUCGAACCCGGGUCUUCGGCGUGACGAGCUAACGCUUUAACCACUAUGCUACCCCACCGCCCCAGAAGUGAUAUACAUAAAGACGACAGUUUAUGGAUGUCACCUUCUUUAUUACGAGAAAAACGUUUUGGAGUAUAUUCUUACACUUUCAUCAAUCACCUGAAAUGUCGUGUUCCUCAGAAUUUAGACAUUGACAUCCAUCUUGCUUUAAAUUAUGUCACUGACAAAAAUGCUGGGUGGUCUUGAUAGAGUAGCAAUUAAUAUAUUUUAUAUUUUUGAGUAUUGUCCUGUAUCAGUAGCCUCGUGGCUCAAGUGUACUCUCGUCACGCCGAAGAUUUGGGUUCGAUUCCCCUCAUGGGUACAAUGUGUGAAGCCCAUUUUUGGUGUCCCCCGCCGUGAUAUUGCUGGAAUGUUGCUAAAAGCAGCGUAAAACCAGUCACUCACUCAGUACAGAAAGAAACUUUAUGUAUUGUAUCGUGCGAAAACUCAAGAUGCACAGUCGUAUCAUUUCACCCCUAAUUAGCAUCCUAUUUUCACACCUCAUAUCCAGUCAUACAUAGACAAGUUCAUUUCAGUUUCAUGCGUUUAAGUGUGUAGUGUGUCAUAUAUAUCGUUGUCUUUCAAAAUGUUUAUUUUCAUUAUGAUGUAACCAGGACACCGUCCUAUAGAGCAAUCUGAGCGUUAUGUCUGUCGCACCUCGAUUGCUUUGUGGGCCUUGUUUCUUUAUGUUAGCAUGUUUGUAGUCAUUACAAUCUUCACAGAUCCUCAUACGCUGAAGUACCAAUGUGCAUGUGGAAAUUCUUUGCUGGAUAUAUUUGGAAGGGAGGACAAGAUGGAAUAAGGGUCCUUCAUUGCAUUCAGUUAUUGGUUUGACAGUUUUCAGACAUGUUAUAAUGGCCAACAAGAAGUAUUUGCAGUAUUCAGCAAAGUGGUCCUGUAAUCGUCACAUGGCUAACUUCUAAACCAGUCUUUUAGUAGUGAGUGAGUUUAGUUUUACGCCGCGCUCAGCAAUAUUCCAGCUCUAUGGCGGCUGUCUGUAAAUAAUCAAGUGUAGACCAGACAGGCUAGCGGGCCAGUGGCUAUUUCGAACACUGUCAUAGACUGCUGUCAUUUAGCUGGGCCAUUGCUGAUGUUAAACAAACAAGGAGAAUAAUCGAUAUGAGUGCCACUUACUCAGACUGAAAAUUUACAUCACCCUCUGAGGACAUGUUUGCAGAAAAUGAAAUCCGUUUCAUACAAACAACUAUAAACAAAUCUAAUGUCCUUUCUAACAAUUUCUAAAGCAUUUACAAAUUUCUGAAAUUAUGCUGAUCAUGGGCCCUUAUUAUACCAUGCCCUUUCCCAUGUCAAAGAGUAUAUUUUUAAUAACCAAUCAGAACGGAGAUCCUCAUACAGCUGUUUAAUAUUUGUUUACUGUUUUCAUUUGGCCAUGGAUCUAAAUGAGAUGUUUUUACCUGAUAGUUCCAGUUAUUCACCCUAUCUUAUCUGAGCACCAAGGAACCUACACCUUGAAGUGUCUUGUGUGAGUUUUCAUGUCUACAAAUCACGAUUUUUGAAUCUGGGUUGGUAAAGAAAUGAAGCACAAAGAAUGAUGUCUUACUAAGGAACCCUUGCUUUCUUCAUCCAGAUUAGACAGUCUCAUGAUAUUCAUGUAGAAAUGUGUUGUAUCAAAUUCAAAAUGAUUUUUCUGAGAAUGUUGUUUUUUCAGUUAGUUAUCUUCAUAUCAUUUCAUUUAGAUUCAAGGCUGAACUGAAGUAAAUUUUUGACAAGUCAAAAAGUACUCUUGAGGUAUGUGAAUUGUGAGAAAGCUUUUGUAGGUGUGAUUGGUGUUAAAUAUAAAUUUUGUAUUUGCUCUUAUGUGAUAUUUGUUUUCAGUGAAAAGAUUGAUAGUGCUAAAUUAUUUUUUUCCAAUAAACUUGAUUAAACUGUUUCUUUUAAAUCUGCAUUUUAAAUGCAUAUGGUCCCAUAAGGCAAAUGUUUUGUUAGGAAACUAUUUCAUUGAAAUUAUGAAAAACAACAACAUUAGUUCUGUCUCAUUUCAGUUCAGUAUUAUAAAAUACAGCUUGACUUCCACUUUUGUAGAAUUAUGAAUCCACCUUGGGCUAAAGUUAUAAAAAGAUAUGCAUAGUUUAAACAUGAAUGUAUGCAUAUAUUUAUCAAACUUAUAUUUGAAGAUGCAUUCUUAGGAACAUACCUCGGCUUAACCUAACAAAGUUUAAAGGAUUGUUUGAUAUUUGGCAUAUUGGCUAGAACAGUCCAUGAUUAAAACGAAUUCAGUAAGUUAUUGUUUGAAAUAUUUAAAAAUAGUUUGAAAGAAUUGGAUGAAUCUGAUUUUGAAUGCAAGUUUCUGUCUCUAUGCAGUCCAAUGCAAUUAAGAUGUCUGAUAAUCCUGUUGUUGAGGAUUGACAGUGUAGAGUUGUACACAUGUAUGGCAGUAGAAUAGCUCAUCAGUGGAUGAGUUACCAUAGAAACUGAUGUCAUCAUGGUACGUUACAGUUUCACUAUCCAGGAUGAAAGGAAGUAAACAUUAAAAUGUAAAUUUAAAUUCUAAUAUUAAGGAAAAUGUCCUUAUUUCAUAUCUGACAUUGAGAAUCAAAAGUUUGAAAACUUGGCCCUGUUCUACAAAAUGAUCUUAGUGCUAAGAUGAUAGUUGGGUCAAGGGUAGUUGUACUAAGAUCCCUUUGUGUUAUGGGGCCCAGGGCCCAGUUUCAUGAAGCAGUCUUAGCACAAGGGCUCUUGCAUUCAUCAAUUAUGAAACGUGAUGCAUAAAGAUUGCUUUGUGAACAUAUCCCUCACCAGAAAGCACAAUCUGCCUCUUGCAUUAAGGUGUAGAAGGGCCAUUAUUUUGAACACAGUACCUGCAAAUCGUAAAAUAGUUUUUAUUAUUUUGACCAAACUAUCAUAACUGGCAGUAUGGUUAGUGAAAAUUUGCAAACCAUAUUUUUAAAAAUGUGUAGCCUAAGUCACUGUCCCAGUUAAGUUGAUAACUAUGUUGAUGCUAUGUUAUUAUCCUUAAAAAUCUCAUCCUUUCAAAAAGGGAAUAUUUGUGAUUUGGUUUAACAGGUGAGAGAACCAAUAAGCAUGGCUAUAUUCACAGAACAAGUCGAGCAUUUCAGCCUGUACAUAGCAAUGGACAUGAAUGUAUUCAUCAUCCUUACCAUUAUCAUGCCUUGUGUAAAUAGCGAGAUACAUGUUUGUGUUCAUGAAUUCAUUAUGAGUCACAGACCGAAUGGAUUGGCUGGACUUGGACUGUCGAUAUCUUUUUGAGACUUUGUGAAUGCUACCCUGUACUUUAUUUACAUCAGUUUGGUGUGCUUGGAUUGUUUAGGUGAAUGUUGAUAUCAAAUAAACCAGAUUUUCAAUCAUGGA